Molecule: ribosomal RNA, 465 nt
Filed under: uncultured bacterium
Lineage: Bacteria
Description: partial 16S ribosomal RNA
Rfam family: Bacterial small subunit ribosomal RNA
Source: RNAcentral
CUACGGGCGGCACCAGUGAGGAAUUUUGCGCAAUGGGGGAAACCCUGACGCAGCAACGCCGCGUGAGUGAUGAAGGCUCUUGGGUCGUAAAACUCUGUCAGCAGGGAAGAAAUUAAUUAUGGUUAAUACCCAUAGUUAUUGACGGUACCUGCAAAGGAAGCACCGGCUAACUCCGUGCCAGCAGCCGCGGUAAUACGGGGGGUGCAAGCGUUAUUCGGAAUUAUUGGGCGUAAAGCGAGUGUAGGCGGCCGUUUAAGUCAGAUGUGAAAGCCCGGGGCUCAACCCUGGAAGUGCAUUUGAAACUGGACGGCUUGAGUAUGGGAGAGGAAAGUGGAAUUCCUGGUGUAGAGGUGAAAUUCGUAGAUAUCAGGAGGAACACCGGUGGCGAAGGCGACUUUCUGGACCAAUACUGACGCUCAGACUCGAAGGCGUGGGGAGCAAACAGGAUUAGAUACCCGGGUAGUC